This 654-nucleotide ribosomal RNA is filed under the name uncultured bacterium. RNAcentral describes it as "bacterial SSU rRNA". It matches the Rfam family "Bacterial small subunit ribosomal RNA", at positions 728 to 1381 of the family's 1533-position model. The record is from RNAcentral.
UNUGGUCUGUCACUGACGCUGAGGCUCGAAAGCGUGGGUAGCGAACAGGAUUAGAUACCCUGGUAGUNCACGCCGUAAACGCUGAGUGCUAGGUGUUAGGUCCUUUCCGGGACUUAGUGCCGACGCUAACGCAUUAAGCACUCCGCCUGGGGAGUACGACCGCAAGGUUGAAACUCAAAGGAAUUGACGGGGGCCCGCACAAGCGGUGGAGCAUGUGGUUUAAUUCGAAGCAACGCGAAGAACCUUACCAGGUCUUGACAUCCCGAUGCCCGCUCUAGAGAUAGAGUUUUACUUUUUGUACAUCGGAGACAGGUGGUGCAUGGUUGUCGUCAGCUCGUGUCGUGAGAUGUUGGGUUNNNNNNNNNNACGAGCGCAACCCUUAUUGUUAGUUGCCAUCAUUAAGUUGGGCACUCUAGCGAGACUGCCGGUAAUAAACCGGAGGAAGGUGGGGAUGACGUCAAAUCAUCAUGCCCCUUAUGACCUGGGCUACACACGUGCUACAAUGGUUGGUACAACGAGUCGCAAGCCGGUGACGGCAAGCUAAUCUCUGAAAGCCAAUCUCAGUUCGGAUUGUAGGCUGCAACUCGCCUACAUGAAGUCGGAAUCGCUAGUAAUCGCGGAUCAGCACGCCGCGGUGAAUACGUUCCCGGGCCU